CUCAGGAUGAACGCUGGCGGCGUGCCUAAUACAUGCAAGUCGAACGAGUUUUGGUCGAUGAACGGUGCUUGCAUCGUGAUUCAACUUAAAACGAGUGGCGGACGGGUGAGUAACACGUGGGUAACCUGCCCUUAAGUGGGGGAUAACAUUUGGAAACAGAUGCUAAUACCGCAUAAAUCCAAGAACCGCAUGGUUCUUGGCUGAAAGAUGGCGUAAGCUAUCGCUUUUGGAUGGACCCGCGGCGUAUUAGCUAGUUGGUGAGGUAACGGCUCACCAAGGCGAUGAUACGUAGCCGAACUGAGAGGUUGAUCGGCCACAUUGGGACUGAGACACGGCCCAAACUCCUACGGGAGGCAGCAGUAGGGAAUCUUCCACAAUGGACGCAAGUCUGAUGGAGCAACGCCGCGUGAGUGAAGAAGGCUUUCGGGUCGUAAAACUCUGUUGUUGGAGAAGAAUGGUCGGCAGAGUAACUGUUGUCGGCGUGACGGUAUCCAACCAGAAAGCCACGGCUAACUACGUGCCAGCAGCCGCGGUAAUACGUAGGUGGCAAGCGUUAUCCGGAUUUAUUGGGCGUAAAGCGAGCGCAGGCGGUUUUUUAAGUCUGAUGUGAAAGCCCUCGGCUUAACCGAGGAAGCGCAUCGGAAACUGGGAAACUUGAGUGCAGAAGAGGACAGUGGAACUCCAUGUGUAGCGGUGAAAUGCGUAGAUAUAUGGAAGAACACCAGUGGCGAAGGCGGCUGUCUGGUCUGUAACUGACGCUGAGGCUCGAAAGCAUGGGUAGCGAACAGGAUUAGAUACCCUGGUAGUCCAUGCCGUAAACGAUGAAUGCUAGGUGUUGGAGGGUUUCCGCCCUUCAGUGCCGCAGCUAACGCAUUAAGCAUUCCGCCUGGGGAGUACGACCGCAAGGUUGAAACUCAAAGGAAUUGACGGGGGCCCGCACAAGCGGUGGAGCAUGUGGUUUAAUUCGAAGCAACGCGAAGAACCUUACCAGGUCUUGACAUCUUUUGAUCACCUGAGAGAUCAGGUUUCCCCUUCGGGGGCAAAAUGACAGGUGGUGCAUGGUUGUCGUCAGCUCGUGUCGUGAGAUGUUGGGUUAAGUCCCGCAACGAGCGCAACCCUUAUGACUAGUUGCCAGCAUUCAGUUGGGCACUCUAGUAAGACUGCCGGUGACAAACCGGAGGAAGGUGGGGAUGACGUCAAAUCAUCAUGCCCCUUAUGACCUGGGCUACACACGUGCUACAAUGGAUGGUACAACGAGUUGCGAGACCGCGAGGUCAAGCUAAUCUCUUAAAGCCAUUCUCAGUUCGGACUGUAGGCUGCAACUCGCCUACACGAAGUCGGAAUCGCUAGUAAUCGCGGAUCAGCACGCCGCGGUGAAUACGUUCCCGGGCCUUGUACACACCGCCCGUCACACCAUGAGAGUUUGUAACACCCGAAGCCGGUGGCGUAACCCUUUUAGGGAGCGAGCCGUCUAAGGUGGGACAAAUGAUUAGGGUGAAGUCGUAACAAGGUAACCG
This 1517-nucleotide ribosomal RNA is filed under the name Lacticaseibacillus zeae. RNAcentral's name for it is "bacterial SSU rRNA". It matches the Rfam family "Bacterial small subunit ribosomal RNA". Lineage: Bacteria; Bacillati; Bacillota; Bacilli; Lactobacillales; Lactobacillaceae. The record is from RNAcentral.